RNAcentral lists this long non-coding RNA (1639 nucleotides) under Homo sapiens (human). RNAcentral describes it as "HSALNT0325967". The record is from RNAcentral. Lineage: Eukaryota; Metazoa; Chordata; Mammalia; Primates; Hominidae.
UGACAGAGUGAGACUCUGUCUCAAAUAAAAUAAAAUAAAAUAAAAUAAAAUAAAAUAAAAUAAAAUAAAAUAAAAUAAAACCAGACGAUGGAGAAAUAAAUCUUCUCUUUUUAUUUUUCCACAAAGUAGAUCCUCCUGAACAAUACAAUCAAAUUAUCCACCAGCCUAAUUUUCCAGUAGAAAUUUAUAUGGCAAGAUUUUGGUAAUAUUUUAACAGUACACUGACAUGGUAUUUGACCAUGAUUGUGAUGCCCCUCUCCUUGAAAUUUUUAGAUCCUGUUUGAGUAAACCAUGGCCCAUACUUUUAAGAUAAGUGAUCUAAAAUAUCUUUAAGUGUUUUUGGAAAAGAAGUCAUUUGAAAAGGGAUUUUUUUAGGCUGGGCACAGUGGCUCACGCCUGUAAUCCCAGCAUGUUGGGAGGCCAAGGCGGGUGGAUCACAAGGUCAGGAGAUUAAGACCAUCCUGCUUAACCAGGUGAAGCCCUAUCUCUACUAAAAAUACAAAAAAUUAGCCAGGUGUGGUGGCACGUGCCUGUAGUCCCAGCUACUCGGGAGGCUCAGCAGGAGAAUCGCUUGAACCUGGGAGGCUGAGGUUGCAGUGAGCUGAGAUCGUGCCUCUGCACUUCAGUCUGAGCGACGGAGCGAGACUCCAUCUCAAAAAAAAGAAAAAGGAUUUUUUGGUUCCACAACACAGGCUUAGUUAAACAGUAGUAUAAAUUCUUACACAUGAUCUUGUGGUUCAUUUUCAAGAACAGAUUCAAAAAGUCAAGUACAUUCUAUGUGUGUUAGCAUUCCAGCAGCAGUCUCCAAGGGUCACACUUGGGAACAAGUUCUCCUGGGGUCCUGUAACCACCCAACGUGUUGACCUUGCGCACCGCUUAGACAGAGCCAAUUUAUCAGGAAAGGGAAAUUGCAAUGCAGAAAGAAUCAUUCACGCAGAGCCAGCUGUGCAGCAGACCUGGAGUUUUGUUAUUCAAAUCAGUCUCCCUGAGCAUUCAGGGAUCAGAGUUUUUAAAGAUAAUUUGGUGGGUAGGGGCUCAGGAAGUGGGGAGUGCUGAUUGGUUAGGUUGGAGAUAGAAUCAUAGUGGGGGUCAAAGUGAGGUUUGCUUGCUGUCUUCUGUUCCUGGGUAGGAUUGCAGAACUGGUUGAGCCAGAUUAAUAGUCUGGGUGGUGUCAGCUGGUCCAUCAAGUACAGGGUCUGCAAAAUAUUUCAAGCACCGAUCUUCAGUUUUACAAUAUUGAUGUUAUCCCCAUCAGCAAUUUGGGGAGAUUCAGACUCUUGCAGCCAGAGGCUGCAUGACUCUUAAACCAUAAUUUCUACUCUUGUAGCUAAUUUGUUAGUCCUACGAAGGCAGACUGGUCCCAAGGCAAAAAGGGGUUUUUUUUGGGGAAAGGGCUGCUAUCAAUUUUGUUUCAGAGUCAAAUCAUAAACUGAAUGCCUUCCCGAGGUUAGUUCAGCCUAUGCCCAGGAGUGAGCAAGGACAGCUUAAAAGAUAGAAGCAAGAUGGGGUCAGUUAGGUCUGAUCUCUUUCAAAGUCAUAAUUUCCUCAUUUAUAAUUUUUCAAAGGCAGUUUCAGUUUCAGCUUGGGUCUCAUGUUGGUUGGUACUCAUGGCCUGAUGUACCUCCAGAGCACAUGACCC